UCAAAGCAUUUCUCAACUGUUAUAUGUGGUGCAUGAAUUUUCCUUGGAUUUGUCUUUGUGGGGAAAAAAACGGGCCAUGUGCUGAGCAGGGACCCGCACGGAAAGCCACUGUCUGUGAAGUUGCAACAACAUUCGUUUUCUUUACAGAUGAAUCAAUAAGACCCUAGCACGAACCAGGGCCCUAGGAACACCGCAUUCUCCAAGCCAGUUGGAUUUUGUGUCUAGUAAUCCAGAACCUUGAUCAACAGUCUCCAUGAAGCAAAGAAACGGGAGCACUGAAUUCACAGCCCGGAUGCCAAGGUCGUCGGCCAAUCACAAAGUUGUGCCCCAUACCUCCUCGUGUUGGUGUCAAAGGGAAAGGAGCUGGGUGGGAUUUAUGAACUGAAGACCAGAUUUGCCACACAAAAGACCAGCUGCUUAAAAAACCGGAUCACGCUGGACAGCUCUGAGGUUUUAGCAGCUUCCAAGGCAGCAGCCCAAUUUCAUCUCUCCAACCUCAACGUCUGUGCCAAGUGACCUCCCCUGUGUGUCCACCCUCAGACCUUCCACUGAUGCUGAGCCUUUGUUCCCUCUUCCGAGAGCCCUUGCAAUUCCGUGGAGCCUCCCAGUCCCCGGCCCGAAUACUACCGCUUGUUAGAUCAGUGUCCCUAACAAUCAGCACGGACUGAGAACCGAGGGGAGACUCCCACAACGUCAAAGCUUCAGGUCUGAACGCCCCACCCUCUCCUCACGCCUCAGGCUCUCUGAGGACCCCACCUCAGCCCCGACCAGGAGCCCGAGCCACCCAUCCUCUCCUGAGCAAUCAAAAGGAAGUCUCGGUCUGAAACUCCUGGGUUCACCAUCCUGGGACUCGGGCCACAUAUUGUACCGAAAAGUUUUCCUGUUGCCUCAGCACCGAGGAAACUGUAAGGGUUUUGGAAGCUUUAUGUCAGGAACUGGGGCAGAGACCAAAUACACUUAUUACAUC
Long non-coding RNA from Fukomys damarensis (Damara mole-rat), 967 nucleotides. RefSeq lists it as uncharacterized. The transcript is spliced from 6 exons. The record is from RefSeq and is a predicted model, not a curated record. Lineage: Eukaryota; Metazoa; Chordata; Mammalia; Rodentia; Bathyergidae.